This 251-nucleotide long non-coding RNA is filed under the name Malus domestica (apple). Its description in RNAcentral is "long non-coding RNA (MDOM_LNC013400)". Lineage: Eukaryota; Viridiplantae; Streptophyta; Magnoliopsida; Rosales; Rosaceae. The record is from RNAcentral.
UAGAGGCGAAAUGUUCGAAUCUUUAUUCUUUUGAAAAGAAGAAAGAAUCACAAAGUUGUUGAGGCCAAUUCACUUAGAUGUUAGUGGCACUUGUCCACAAACAUAAAUACUACUCAUGUUGAUUGACAUUCACCGAAGAUCACUCUCGGUUGGACUAUAGUUUAUUUUGAAUAAACACAAGUCUGAAUACUUUGCAAAAUGUUUCAAAGAAUUCAAGUAAUGUAAGUUGAUGAGUAAGACGUCUAAAGUAU